AUGGAUGUCUACAAAAAGAUUCUGUUCAUAGCUUUUCUUAAGCUUAACUGGAUUUGAAGUCAUUACCACCUAUAAUCCCUUGCCUACCAGAUGUACUGUGGAGAGGCUAGGACAUAGGCGUGCUGUUGGUGUUCUACGCAGAUGCAAAAUGGAGGAACUACUUUGACUUCAAAAUUUGAGUCACAGUUUGGUUUAGGGUGCUUUAUUAUUGUUGGGUUGGUUUUUGUUGUUUGGUUGUUGGUUUUUGUUUUUUUUCUUUUAAUCAAGAAUUUAAUGUUUCUUUCUUUUUUUUUUUUUUUUCCCCUCAGGGCGAGAACGUUGCAUUCAUACAAUACUUCACAGAGUGGGACCUUGAUCCUGACCAGGACCUCAGAGUGCUGCCAUUAUACAAAUAAUAAUAAAAUGAGGCAGAACAAAAUAGGAGCCUGUGGGCUAGGUUUUAAUUCUCCUAUCUCUUUUUCAUCAAAACUAAACCAUUUGAAGGAUAAAACCAAGCAUUUUUUGUUUUGUUUUAUCGUUUAUUAUUUUUUGACCAUGCCGUAACACCCAUCAUGAAAUGACUGCAUGACUCAUUUUCAAAAAGAAGUGAUAACAAUGGAUUCAUUUGGU
This is a long non-coding RNA of Gallus gallus (chicken), 609 nucleotides long. The record is from Ensembl. NCBI's taxonomy places the organism in Eukaryota, Metazoa, Chordata, Aves, Galliformes, Phasianidae.